CCUAGCCCAUCACUUACCCCACUUAUAUUUUAGGUAUAAAAUCUCUUCUAAACUCCUCGUGCAGGUUAAGGCGGCGACAUCCCAAUUAGAUUAGGGCACGCCGCAUCGAUGGAUAAUAAUCGUGUGUGUGUAUCUAUUCGAGUGUAUUCAUAAUUCAGUGUUGCUAGAUCGAUGUUCAAAUUCGUUAUGUUGUCCGUUUCGAAGCCGAAAACCAGUAAACAAUGAAGAAGCUGCUCCAGCAAAACAAAACUAUGUUCUAUUGCCACCACAGUGGGCCGGCAAGGGAUAAAAGUGAUUCUACCAAACCUUGCUCUAAGUGGACAAAAAGAAAUGCCAACAUUUCUCGAUAUGGGAUUCCUUGUGACUCGGCUCACCGAAAUAAAAGAAGAACUCUUCAUUUGAGCAAACAAUUGCUGAAGGUAACCGAGAAGGUAAUAGGAAAAUUAAUCCAGCUUCUGCAAAGAGAGAAGGUAUUCUACUUCUUUUGAUCAGAGAUUAUUAUAUGUUCCUUGGACCCUGCAAUAAAACCAACUCAAUACAAUCUUAUUCACGUGAAGAUUGUCUUGUUUAAUAAUAUCUUUGAGACGGAUGGCUCAGAAAUGGUGAAGGUAUGCUUAUUAUAUGGUUAAGUUAUAAUGUACUUAAAAUCUAUUAAAUGUUUUAGUAUGAAAGUCACUGAUUUUCACAUUCCUCUUUGCAGUAAAACAAGGAAGAUGAUUUGCAGUAAACAAUGAAGAUGAUGCUCCAAAAAGAUGAAAAACAAUUAUCUAAGGCCUGCUAAUCUGCUUGUUAUCUACUAUUAUGAAGAAGCUGCCUACUUAUCUAUUUAGUUGAAGAUAAAACAAACGCAGCACAUCGUGGAACUUCUGAAUUUAAAAGAAUCAAGUUUAAAUCUAGCAGUUUAGAUAGGAGUAACCAUAUUGUCUAAUUCUUAUUCCUAUGUAAGAUCAGGGCUCAAAAUACUUAAAAUAGAUGAUGUUCAAGCAACCAUCAAGUUACUUGAAGUAGUUUUAGUAUUUGUCUGUUUAUUUAUUGACAUUUAUUGACCUGUUAAAACAGGAUUAUGCACUUUGGAACAGUUAUUCAUAAUUUACACAUUUUCUUGGUUUA
Long non-coding RNA from Daucus carota subsp. sativus, 1110 nucleotides. RefSeq lists it as uncharacterized. The record is from RefSeq and is a predicted model, not a curated record. The transcript is spliced from 5 exons. NCBI's taxonomy places the organism in Eukaryota, Viridiplantae, Streptophyta, Magnoliopsida, Apiales, Apiaceae.